Long non-coding RNA from Chelonia mydas (Green sea turtle), 1073 nucleotides. RefSeq lists it as uncharacterized. The transcript has 2 exons. NCBI's taxonomy places the organism in Eukaryota, Metazoa, Chordata, Testudines, Cheloniidae. The record is from RefSeq and is a predicted model, not a curated record.
CGGGAAACAUAGAGCGAGCGGGAAGGGGGGCGCAGAGGCGGCGGGGUCCCACAGAGAGAGGGCGGCAGCGUCUCUGGCUCUGACUUAGGCUCGGUCCAGCGCGGAGCUCAGGGGCUGUGCUGACAGCCCGGCCCUGCCCUGGAGCCAGCCGCUCCCAAACUGUCUCUGUUCGGGCCCUCAGUGCCGUGAGCCCAGCGCCCUGUGCAGACGGGCGUCCUUGUGACAAACCGCCGUGACUAGUCGGUGCCAGUCCCGCCCCGGUAGCCUGCCUCAGUGGGGGUAGGGGUAAAGCCUGAACAGGCCCUGGAGCCCGAUCCCUGCAGAUCGGGGUGAGGUCACACAGGCCUCGUCUAGGGUGUGGCAUUAGCUAACAUUUGCUACCUACCACAUCUGAAGGUCUAGUGUAGCCCCACUGGAGCUCUCUGUGCCCAUUUGACAGAUGCCUCCAGGACUGCGAGGACCACACCUGGAGCUAGAGCUAAGGUCUCACACGUACCGCAUUUCAGCUCUUUGCAUUUAAAAAAGUCCCCUCGUCUUUGACACAUAAAACAUUCCUGCUGAAAAUGAUGCAACCCAUAGGAUGUUUUACGUUGCAUGUCAGUGACAGAGUGUGCUAGGGUGAUGGGAAGGCAAAUUCCAAGUCCAAGUGCUUUUGGGUCUGCGCUGUAUGCUUGUAAUGUUUUCUUUCUCUCCCCACCACAAUAUACUGUUAAAGUGUGUACAGUGAAAUUGAUACCAUAUCAUUGACUGAUGCAAGCUAAAGAAAUAACUUUCAAAAAAACACUUGGCCCCAAGUAGAAAGUAGCUUGAACUAUUGCAUGAAUCCUAGGAACAACUUGCAGGCUUUUUAUGGCCACAGAAUCGGUUUUAGAACAAUAGCAACAAACUUUUGUUUAUAUCAAGGACCUCAGCUUGGUUGGUAUCUUUGAUAGACAAGGAGAUAUGCCUAUCUAAUGUAUUCAGGCACAUAUACCCAGCCCCUUGCUGUGGUAUCUUAGUGCCUAAUUAGUAUAUUUGCAUACCUUUUGUAUUAAGAAUAAAUUCAAAUAAAUGUGUAGUAAUUUGUACUUUUA